CAGCCCUAAACGAUGCGCGUUAGGUGUAUCGGUGACCACGAGUCACCGAGGUGCCGAAGGGAAACCGUGAAACGUGCCGCCUGGGAAGUACGGUCGCAAGGCUGAAACUUAAAGGAAUUGGCGGGGGAGCACCACAACGGGUGGAGCCUGCAGUUUAAUUGGACUCAACGCCGGGAAGCUUACCGGAUAAGACAGCGGAAUGAUUGCCGGGCUGAAGACCCUGCAUGACCAGCUGAGAGGAGGUGCAUGGCGUAGUCGUGU
RNAcentral lists this ribosomal RNA (261 nucleotides) under uncultured archaeon. RNAcentral's name for it is "partial 16S ribosomal RNA". It matches the Rfam family "Archaeal small subunit ribosomal RNA", at positions 748 to 1009 of the family's 1478-position model. The record is from RNAcentral.